UUAUUGUUUUGGCUAAAGUAGAUGCUAAUGAGGAGAAGAACAAAGACCUUGCAUCACAAUAUGAUGUUAAGGGAUUCCCAACAAUUAACAUUCUGAGGAAUGGGGGAAAUAAUGUUCAGGAAUACAAAGGUCCCCGUGAAGCAGAUGGCAUUGUUGACUAUUUGAAGAAACAAAGUGGUCCUGCUUCAACUGAAAUUAAAUUUGUUGAUGAACCUAUUGCUUUUGUUGGUGAAAAUAAAGUUGUUACUGUUGGAGUUUUUCUAGAGAGGAGUUUGACAACUUUUCUGCCUUAGCAGAGAAGUUGCGUUCUAAGAAGUUGCGUUCUGAUAAUGACUUUGGUCACACUCUGAAUGCCAAACUCCUUCCAAGAGGAGAGUCAUCAGUUUCUGGGCCCAUAGUUAGGUUGUUCAAGUCAUUCGAUGAACUUUUUAUUGACUUCCAGAGCUAUUUAAGGGACAUCCAAGGUUCCACCUGCUCUCCAUUCUAUCAAAUCGUUGCCUCCCAAGUUCAAGAUUACCACUGGUAAUCCGACUUUUGGUCUAAUGGAGAACCAUGGAGAUGCUAAGCUGAUAAGCAGUGAUGUGAUUGGAUCGGGUUGUCCAGAAAAUGAUGCUUUGAUAGGAGAGGUUGUUGAGGAAGCUCGGGACUGUGCUACUGAUGUGGGUGUUUACGAUGAGGACUUGGUGUACAGCAGAAAAUGUAUGUCGUUAGCAGACAAGCCAUCAAUUGUUGAUGAAGACUUAGAAUUUGUUCCUUUUCCCUUCCCAUCAAUUUCAAUCUCCUCUAGGGAACGCAUGUGUAGUGAUACGACACCUUAUGCUUCAAAGAAGGUAUGGCUUGCAAACACAUCUUGAAGGAGCUCAACGAUCUACAAGAGUAUCCUUUUACUUCAUGCAGAUAAGCUUUGCGAUCCUUUUUCCUAUUUUUUUCCUGUCUAUUUUGUUGGGGUGUAUGUAACAAAAACUAUUAUUUGUGAUGAUAUAUUUAUAUAUUUAUUGCAAUGUGUUAUCUAAUACAUCUAAUGUAAAGGAGUAGUAUGUGAAAAUGUCCAAAAUGGACAUUUUUUUAAUCUUAAAUCUAUAUUCCAUUUUUUAGAUUUAGACAUGAGUUUUGUAUUAGAUUAUGUUGUAACAAUUAAUUAUUUCGAAAUAUGCUCAUUUAUAAUAAUUUUUAUUUGAUUUUCAUUCAUUUUUUAGAAUUUUUAUUCUUUCAAACUUAGAUAUGGCUUCCAAACACAUCUUGAAAAAACUCAAGGAUUUGCAGAUGGCUCCUCCUACAUCAUGGAGAUGAGCUUCUCUAUCCUUUUCUCUGUUUUUUUUUCUUUUUUGUUGGGGUGUAUGUAAAAUAAAAAAUCGAAGGAGUUUUAGUUUUUAUCUUUAAAUAAAUUUCUCGAGGAUCUGCAGAAAAAUCCUCCUACGUCAUGCAAAUAAGCUCCGAUUUCUUCCUUUUGUUGAUGUGUUUUGUGUCUAUGUAAUUUUGUGUUUGUUUUAAUUAUCAAUUUUCCUUUGUAUUUUUUGAUGUUGUGCUUCCAAUAUUAUUCUUUUGUUCAUCGUACAUAUAUGCUUAUAUUCUGAUAUAAGAAAUGUCAAAUUGGCAACUGUGUAGAGUGAUGGUAAGAUAUGUUAAGCACUUUGUUGAAAGACAAUGUCAUUGAUGAUGGAUUGAUGUGGAUGUCGCGGGUCAUUAAGAAAAAUUUCAAACCUAUAAGGCAUCCAAAUGCAACAAAUGUAGAUGAUCAUGAAGAAGGUAAUAACUUUAUCAGUAUUGAUCAAGUUGAGACAGAUCAAACAGGUGAUUGUGAUGGGCAGAGAAGAAAAGAUGUAGAUUUGACUGCUAUGAGAGAGAGAAAAGAAUAAAAAAACUCUCUGGUAUUUUUUUAUUAUAAAGAUUUGGGACUUGAAAAAAAAUCUAAACACAAAAAACAUGUAGAUUUGAUUGCUUUGAGAGAGAGAAGAAAGUAACAAACACUUUCUAUGCCCAACGACAAAAGACUGGACUAGGAAAGUUACACACUUGCUGAUAGACAAUUGCAUUCUAUUUUCUAUUUGUUUCUAAGAUUACAAUUUAUUAUUAAUCAAAUUAAAUUUGCAUUUCA
RNA transcript from Glycine soja, 2095 nucleotides. RefSeq lists it as uncharacterized. Lineage: Eukaryota; Viridiplantae; Streptophyta; Magnoliopsida; Fabales; Fabaceae. The record is from RefSeq and is a predicted model, not a curated record. The transcript has 4 exons.